AAACAAUUGCAUGUUGGCAGGAGAGGAAGAGGAGUUAGCAAGUGGUGACAGUCAAAACAGAGAUAUCUAACGUAACAAAGAGGGGCGUAAAGUAAACACAAACACUACGAGUGCUCAAAUGCAUGCCGGGACAGAGGAGAAAAGUGUUAGCUAGUGGAAGUUAAACCAGUGAAUCUGACGUACCAAAGGAAACACAAACACUACAGGAGCGCUAAUGCAUGCCGGGACAGAGGAGAAAAGUGUUAGCUAGUGGAAGUUAAACCAUGAGUGCCUGGAUGAGCGGGACGACUUGCGAUUCGCCGCCAUGUCUGCCUUACUCUGAUUGUCCUGGGGCCGCAACGUUCGCUCCAGCACCGCACUAAUUGCCGCCAUCCACGCCGCCCUCUCCUCGCAGGUGGGCGCGGACAUGACGUAAGU
Molecule: long non-coding RNA, 417 nt
Organism: Eriocheir sinensis (Chinese mitten crab)
Lineage: Eukaryota; Metazoa; Arthropoda; Malacostraca; Decapoda; Varunidae
Exons: 2
Source: RefSeq, a predicted model, not a curated record